AACCAUUCUCACCUGCGGCUAGACCUGCGGAAGGAUCAUUACACAAUACAAUAUGAAGGCUGUCCGCAGCUGGAGUAUUUUAUUACCCUUGUCUUUUGCGCACUUGUUGUUUCCUGGGCGGGUUCGCUCGCCACCAGGACCACCAAAUAAACCUUUUUUAUGCAGUUGCAAUCAGCGUCAGUACAAACAAUGUAAAUCAUUUACAACUUUUAACAAUGGAUCUCAGAUCGGAAGAGCACA
RNAcentral lists this unclassified non-coding RNA (240 nucleotides) under soil metagenome. Its description in RNAcentral is "partial contains 5.8S ribosomal RNA, internal transcribed spacer 2, and large subunit ribosomal RNA". The record is from RNAcentral.